UACGUAGGGAGCAAGCGUUGUCCGGAAUUACUGGGCGUAAAGGGUGCGCAGGCGGUCUGUUAAGUCAGCGGUCAAAGCCCGGGGCUCAACCCCGGCGAGCCGUUGAAACUGGCUGUCUUGAGAUGUCGAGAGGUAUGCGGAAUGCGCAGUGUAGCGGUGAAAUGCUUAGAUAUUGCGCAGAACUCCGAUUGCGAAGGCAGCAUACCGGCGGCGAUCUGACGCUGAGGCACGAAAGCGUGGGUAUCGAACAGG
RNAcentral lists this ribosomal RNA (252 nucleotides) under uncultured Bacteroidales bacterium. Its description in RNAcentral is "partial 16S ribosomal RNA". It matches the Rfam family "Bacterial small subunit ribosomal RNA", at positions 524 to 776 of the family's 1533-position model. The record is from RNAcentral. Lineage: Bacteria; Pseudomonadati; Bacteroidota; Bacteroidia; Bacteroidales.